This 70-nucleotide transfer RNA is filed under the name Theileria orientalis. Its description in RNAcentral is "tRNA-Cys". The record is from RNAcentral. Lineage: Eukaryota; Apicomplexa; Aconoidasida; Piroplasmida; Theileriidae.
AACUGUAUAACUUAAGUUAAAGUAAAUAAAUGCAGGUUAUUUUAUCUCAGUUAAAAUCUGAGUACAGUUU